UCUGCAAAUUGGCAAUAAAAAAUAAUCAAUAAACAAUAACACGUAAAAGUUUCAUAUAAGAAAACAUCUAACACUUUAUUAUCGCCUUAAAAUUAUUAAAUUAAAUAUACGUUAAUGUUAAAAUUGUUUAUAACUUAUGCUGCAAAAAAGAACACUAAUGAGAUAAUUUAAUAUUUUAUAUUUAUGUUUCUUUAGUUAAUAUUAAGGGAACAUUCUACUUUCGCCUAAAAUUUACGUAAUUUUUUUAGGAACUGUAACUUGAAGAAAAAAAACAUUAGUAAAAAUUUUUUUUACAUAAAUUUGACACCUUAGACUUAGACUACUAAGGCUUACAGUACACAAAUGGACAGAAAUGGCUGACCAUGUAAAGUUAGCCGCAUUUGGGGACAUAUUGGCGCUACUUAACACUUUCUAAGUAUUCAUGCAUCAUGACUGUUGAUUAAUCAAAGAUCAGCAAUGCUGUCUCUUGGCACACAUCGGAAUAUCGCGAGUGAUGGCACCGAAGCGUAUAGAUAUUUUUGGGCAUAUGAAAAAAAUACAACAAUAACAACUUGACAAUUGUCCGACAUAUCAAACGUAUAGUUAACCGAAAUUUAAUAUAACAAAUAUUCUAAGAACUUAUUAUGUACUGUUUAUACACAAAUAAUUAAUAAAGAUGUAAAAACUAGAUGUAAUAACAGAACAAAGAAAAGUUUUAUUAAGUAAAAAAGAUAAUAAUUUAUUAUAAUCUAAAAAUAAUGACGUUACAGAUAAUAUUUAUAAUCUUUUUUACUUAAUAAACUGAGAAAGUACUGUGCACUGAAAAAGUAAAUGUCCUCUUAAUGUAAAUCUAUCAAUAAAGUCAUUAACAAUUA
This is a long non-coding RNA of Monomorium pharaonis (pharaoh ant), 854 nucleotides long. RefSeq lists it as uncharacterized. The record is from RefSeq and is a predicted model, not a curated record. The transcript has 2 exons. NCBI's taxonomy places the organism in Eukaryota, Metazoa, Arthropoda, Insecta, Hymenoptera, Formicidae.